ACUCUCCCACUAGCCGGUGUGACCCUGACUCUGUGCCGGGUCUGAGGAUGCCCUCCGUCGUCAUCCCUUAGAAGGCGUUACCUGCUUUCAGACUGCCUCGUUGCGGCGCACUCACUACUUCCAAAAGCCUAGCAUUUCGAGACAACAAUCCCUUCUUGUUCACGCUCUCAUUGACGAGCGUGGAACUGCCAUGGAUUGGUCUUUCGGUGCCGAUUGAUGCACGGUCGUCGGCGCCAUUAUGCAUCCACCGUUCGCAACAGGCCUUAAUAACCCGCAUUUCCCGAGCGUCCGCCAAAGAAUUCAGACUACACUUUCGGGGGCCGAGUUGGCCCCUCCCAGUAACCUUUGACCCUUUGAACUCACGUCUUCUCCUCUCACCUUAAGGUGCACAUCGCCACUUUACGCAUCUCUACACCUCCUUGUGGUCACCGCUUCCGCUGAGAGACCAGACAUUGACUGCGACUCCUCGCUUUCGCACCCCUCGCUUGUCCUAAUCUAUGGGACCAUCAGGUGCGGCAUUUGCUACUCACGAUUCACAAUCCCCCAA
RNAcentral lists this ribosomal RNA (547 nucleotides) under Bacillus pumilus. Its description in RNAcentral is "partial 16S ribosomal RNA". Lineage: Bacteria; Bacillati; Bacillota; Bacilli; Caryophanales; Bacillaceae. The record is from RNAcentral.